This 1343-nucleotide ribosomal RNA is filed under the name uncultured bacterium. RNAcentral's name for it is "16S ribosomal RNA". It matches the Rfam family "Bacterial small subunit ribosomal RNA", at positions 28 to 1378 of the family's 1533-position model. The record is from RNAcentral.
GACGAACGCUGGCGGCGUGCUUAACACAUGCAAGUCGAACGGAAAGGCCCUGCUUUUGUGGGGUGCUCGAGUGGCGAACGGGUGAGUAACACGUGAGUAACCUGCCCUUGACUUUGGGAUAACUUCAGGAAACUGGGGCUAAUACCGGAUAGGAGCUCCUGCUGCAUGGUGGGGGUUGGAAAGUUUCGGCGGUUGGGGAUGGACUCGCGGCUUAUCAGCUUGUUGGUGGGGUAGUGGCUUACCAAGGCUUUGACGGGUAGCCGGCCUGAGAGGGUGACCGGCCACAUUGGGACUGAGAUACGGCCCAGACUCCUACGGGAGGCAGCAGUGGGGAAUAUUGCACAAUGGGCGGAAGCCUGAUGCAGCAACGCCGCGUGCGGGAUGACGGCCUUCGGGUUGUAAACCGCUUUCGCCUGUGACGAAGCGUGAGUGACGGUAAUGGGUAAAGAAGCACCGGCUAACUACGUGCCAGCAGCCGCGGUGAUACGUAGGGUGCGAGCGUUGUCCGGAUUUAUUGGGCGUAAAGGGCUCGUAGGUGGUUGAUCGCGUCGGAAGUGUAAUCUUGGGGCUUAACCCUGAGCGUGCUUUCGAUACGGGUUGACUUGAGGAAGGUAGGGGAGAAUGGAAUUCCUGGUGGAGCGGUGGAAUGCGCAGAUAUCAGGAGGAACACCAGUGGCGAAGGCGGUUCUCUGGGCCUUUCCUGACGCUGAGGAGCGAAAGCGUGGGGAGCGAACAGGCUUAGAUACCCUGGUAGUCCACGCUGUAAACGGUGGGUACUAGGUGUGGGGUCCAUUCCACGGGUUCCGUGCCGUAGCUAACGCUUUAAGUACCCCGCCUGGGGAGUACGGCCGCAAGGCUAAAACUCAAAGGAAUUGACGGGGCCCCGCACAAGCGGCGGAGCAUGCGGAUUAAUUCGAUGCAACGCGUAGAACCUUACCUGGGUUUGACAUGGAUCGGGAGUGCUCAGAGAUGGGUGUGCCUCUUUUGGGGUCGGUUCACAGGUGGUGCAUGCCUGUCGUCAGCUCGUGUCGUGAGAUGUUGGGUUAAGUCCCGCAACGAGCGCAACCCUUGUUCACUGUCGCCAGCACGUUAUGGUGGGGACUCAGUGGAGACCGCCGGGGUCAACUCGGAGGAAGGUGGGGAUGACGUCAAGUCAUCAUGCCCCUUAUGUCCAGGGCUUCACGCAUGCUACAAUGGCUGGUACAGAGAGUGGCGAGCCUGUGAGGGUGAGCGAAUCUCGGAAAGCCGGUCUCAGUUCGGAUUGGGGUCUGCAACUCGACCUCAUGAAGUCGGAGUCGCUAGUAAUCGCAGAUCAGCAACGCUGCGGUGAAUACGUUCCCGGG